Molecule: RNA transcript, 2761 nt
Organism: Cygnus atratus (black swan)
Lineage: Eukaryota; Metazoa; Chordata; Aves; Anseriformes; Anatidae
Gene: SMYD3
Gene name: SET and MYND domain containing 3
Exons: 13
Source: RefSeq, a predicted model, not a curated record
CUGUUUGGCAGAACUGUUAGGCCUGUUUCGGAGUUAUUUGGCAGGACAAUUUAGUGCUCCUUUCCAAAACAGAAGCCCUAACUCCCUCUAUAGGCACAAUAAGAAAGAGCAGACUAAGCCUAACUGUAGAGUUCACAUUUAGCAAGCGUAACGUAUGUAAUCUCUUAAAAACAAUGAAAGCUGCAUAGACCCAGACGACACUGACGACCCAUUGGGUGGCAGUACAAAACGAGUUUGAUUUUCCCUACGUUGUACAUUGAAGAAUGCGGCAGGCUGUCUGUGUUCAAGUGCACUGGUGGCCAGGCUGGAGGGGCACUGGUUUCCUGUGUCCCCAUAGGGAACAUGACCCUGGGAUGAGGCCUGAGGAGACCACCCCGGCAUGAUGAAGCUGCCUCCUGCCUCCCCACACAGCCCAGGUCCAUUUCUCUGCUACGUAUGACGUGGGUGUGCAGCCUCCCCCUGUCCCCAUGCCACUUCCAUUUCUGUAUAUAUUUUUUCCACAUCCGUGUCAGUGUUGAGGCUGGGUAGGUGCUGAGGUGAAACAAGACCAGUGCAGAGUAAGCCUGAUGUGGCAGUGCAAGCUUCAUUAUUGCUUCAGGUGUCUCCUGAGGCGGGACUGCUGGAACUGCGAACGCCAGAAGAGGAGCUGCAGGAUUUCCCAACUCCUUGCUAAUCAUACAAGCAAUUAGAAUUUUAAUUUUUAUGAGUGCCUUAGUUCCAUUAAAACAAAACAAAAACAAUCAAAGAAACCUGUAAGUUAUGAAGUCACUGAAAAAAAGCCCCAACCACCACACUGCCUAUUUGCCAUUAGCCACUCCCGCCGCAAUUAAUUAAAACGCUUAUAAUCGCUUUGCGUAGCGUCACAAGGUGAGUCGUGACCGGAACAACGCCGUUAAUCACGCCUGGGAGCCGUGUCACGGGCAGGCAGCCUUGCCCCCACCCCACACACGUGCACCCAGUGUGCCGGCGCUAAGAUGGCGGCGCAGGCGGCGUGACGUGGCGGCGGGGGCCGCCCAUUUUCUCUGUGGCGGCCGCAUGGAGGCGGCGGCGCUGGAGCGGUUCCGCAGCCCGGGGAAGGGCAGCGGACUGCGCUCCCGGCGGCGGGUGCGGCCCGGCGAGCUGCUGUACCGGGCCGAGCCCUUCGCCUACGUGGUCAGCAAGGAGCUGCUGGGCGGUGUCUGCGAGCGGUGCCUGCGCAGGAAUGAACAUCUGCACAGAUGCUCUCAGUGCAAGGUUGCUAAAUACUGUGGUAAAUCUUGUCAGAAAGAAGCUUGGCUGGACCACAAGCAAGAAUGCAAGUGUCUUAAGAAUAUCAAGCCUAAUUUUCCUCCAGAUUCUGUCAGACUUGCCGGCAGGAUUGUUUUUAAACUACUUAGACAAUCAGUAUGCAUUUCUGAGAGGCUCUACUCUUUUUCAGAUCUUCAGUCAAAUACUGAACAACUAAGUGAAGAAAUGAAAGAUGGCCUCAGGCACCUUGCGCACACCUUGCAACUGUAUCUGAAAGCAGAGAUCCAGGAUGCAUCUCACUUGCCAGCUGCAAUUGACUUUUUUCAGAUCUUCACAAAAGUGACCUGUAACUGUUUCACCAUCAGUAACGGAGAGAUGCAGGAUGUUGGUGUUGGCCUGUAUCCCAGCAUGUCUUUACUGAAUCACAGCUGUGACCCAAACUGUGUGAUCGUUUUUGAAGGAUACCAGCUUUUACUUCGCUCUGUCCGAGAGAUCCAGAUUGGUGAAGAGCUCACCAUCAGCUAUAUUGAAUCGCUGAUGCCCACCAGUGAACGCCAAAAGCAACUGAUGCGCCAGUAUUGCUUUGAAUGUGACUGUCAUCUCUGCCAGGAUCAAGAAAAGGAUGCUGAGAAAUUGGCAGGUGAAGAGUGUGCCUGGAAAGAAGUCAAAGAUGCUGUAAAUGAAGUGAGAUAUCCGAAAUCAAAAGAAGAGUGGGAGCAGGUUCUGGCAAGAUGUCAGAGUCUCUUGAGCAGCAACACGGGUCCUCUUCCAGACACAAAUAUCUACCAGCUGAAAAUGCUCGACUGCGCCAUGGAUGCCUGCAUCAACCUUGAAGCCUGGGAACAAGCUUUGUGUUAUGGCAGCAGGACUCUAGGACCAUACAGACUGUAUUAUCCUGGCUUCCAUCCGCUGAGGGCUGUCCAGCUGAUGCGAGUGGGCAAACUGCAGUACAGUCAAGACAUGUUUCCUCAAGCACUGGAGACCUUGAAACAGGGAUACAUCGUGCGGUUGGUGACACUGUGGCCUGAGCUGCUGUCUUGCGAUUACUGUAGUGUUUCAUAAUUAGAUUUCUUCUUUUGUCUGAGAGGAGGACCACACACAUCACAAGACUCUGAUCCGCCUUGGCUCGGCUGGUUAGCUGCCUAUAAAAUUAUGAAGGUGACCCAUGGGACAGAUCACAGCCUGAUGCAAACCUUGAUGGACUUAAAGGAGCAGUGUGAGGCCAUCAUGAGAAUACACUGAAGAAAUUCUCCAGUCUGGAAAACAAAAUAUUCAAGGAGACAGGAAAUAUUUUUUUUUAUUACAUUAGGAAGCUUCUCAAUGAUUUUGGUGUUUUUUUCAUCAGGCCCUGAUUUUAUUACAAAAAUUUGUUAGUUUUGCUGUAUGAUCUUCUGAAUUGAGUUAAUGGUUGGAAGAAUAUGUGAAUAUAAUAUUUUCAGAAAGUUUCUAAUUUCUGCAAGGCAAAAUGGUAGUGGGUAAGUCUCAGUAUUUGAUCUUAAUACGUGCUGGUGAUAAAAAUACAAACUUAAACAUA